UACGGGGGGGGCAAGCGUUGUUCGGAAUUACUGGGCGUAAAGGGUUCGUAGGUGGCCGACUAAGUCAGACGUGAAAUCCCUCAGCUUAACUGGGGAACUGCGUCUGAUACUGGUUGGCUUGAGGACAGGAGAGGAACGCGGAAUUCCAGGUGUAGCGGUGAAAUGCGCAGAUAUCAGGAGGAACACCAAUUGCGAAGGCAGCUCGCUGGGACGUUACUGACGCUGAGACGCGAAAGCGUGGGGAGCAAACAGG
RNAcentral lists this ribosomal RNA (253 nucleotides) under uncultured bacterium. RNAcentral describes it as "partial 16S ribosomal RNA". It matches the Rfam family "Bacterial small subunit ribosomal RNA", at positions 524 to 776 of the family's 1533-position model. The record is from RNAcentral.